RNAcentral lists this ribosomal RNA (497 nucleotides) under uncultured bacterium. RNAcentral describes it as "partial 16S ribosomal RNA". It matches the Rfam family "Bacterial small subunit ribosomal RNA", at positions 28 to 507 of the family's 1533-position model. The record is from RNAcentral.
GAUGAACGCUGGCGGCGUGCCUAAUACAUGCAAGUCGAGCGAACAGAUGAGGAGCUUGCUCCUCUGACGUUAGCGGCGGACGGGUGAGUAACACGUGGAUAACCUACCUAUAAGACUGGGAUAACUUCGGGAAACCGGAGCUAAUACCGGAUAAUAUAUUGAACCGCAUGGUUCAAUAGUGAAAGACGGUUUUGCUGUCACUUAUAGAUGGAUCCGCGCCGCAUUAGCUAGUUGGUAAGGGAACGGCUUACCAAGGCAACGAUGCGUAGCCGACCUGAGAGGGUGAUCGGCCACACUGGGACUGAGACACGGUCCAGACUCCUACGGGAGGCAGCAGUAGGGAAUCUUCCGCAAUGGGCGAAAGCCUGACGGAGCAACGCCGCGUGAGUGAUGAAGGUCUUCGGAUCGUAAAACUCUGUUAUUAGGGAAGAACAAAUGUGUAAGUAACUAUGCACGUCUUGACGGUACCUAAUCAGAAAGCCACGGCUAACUACGUG